Molecule: long non-coding RNA, 1492 nt
Organism: Diorhabda sublineata
Lineage: Eukaryota; Metazoa; Arthropoda; Insecta; Coleoptera; Chrysomelidae
Exons: 6
Source: RefSeq, a predicted model, not a curated record
AUAACCAUCCUAUAUCUUUUAUCUAUGUACAUAACCACAAAAGCUACUCAAUUAAUAGAAUACUAAAAUGACUAUAGGUUGAUGACUAUAUAUAGCACUUCUUAGUAUACUGAUUGUACAUUAGAUACCAAGGCUGGCUGGUUCACUUCUUCACCUUCAGACGAAGAGGAACUUCGUACACUUACAAAAAUGAAAAAAAAAUAGAACACACAGUCCAGCAAUACUAUUCAGACACUUAUGAACGCCAUUUCCAAAUGACAAUAUAAACAAUCGGCGAGCUUAUUGUAAAAUGAAAAACAUGUGAAUAUUCUACAAAGAAUUUUUGAAUAUUUGUGCUCGAAAUAAGCUCAUCUUAAAAUCUCAACAAUGGUUCCGUCAAUAAGCAUUUAACAAACAAUUUGUUUUUAAUUUCCAACAAGAUGAGAAAGAUGUAAUCUUGGCAUUCCAACAAGAUCACUUUCUAAAACAACUAAAAAGAUGCCCCAAGAAAAAUUGCAGGAAUCAACAAGUGCUAUUGUGAAAUAUAAAAUAUAACGGGAAUUAUACAGUAUAUUGUAGAAAAUGUAAACACUACAGCCGCAUUACUAAUGGCUCAUUCUUUGAAGGCACCCAUUUGUCAUUUGAAGAUAUAAUUAUUAGUCUAUGGUUUUGGGUUUUUCAUGUAUCCUCUCUAGAUGCUAACAAAGUAUCAUCAAUUAGAAGAGAAGCUGUGGUUCAAUAUUAUAGAUAUUUCAGAGAUAUUGUCUCAUGGAAAAUCCCAUCAAUGCCACAUCAAGAAAUUGGAGGAGUUCACUAAGAUCUGCCAAAAAUUGUACAUUCAACAAAAAGUCAUUACUACCGAAGAUCAAUCAAGGGACAAAUUUUGAUGAUAGAUACUUCUAAAAUCCAUGAACCAAGAUUAUGUGUAAAGAAGAAAAAUCCAGAAGAUUACUUUGUAUAAGGCAUAUUAUUAAGAAUUGGAACAUACAGAGCAAAUGGAAAGAUGUGGAAGAUUAUUAAUAAUGAAAAACCAAAUACCAAAAAUUACCACAGAAACGUUACUGAUGAUACUAAGAAUUGAAAAUUCAGAACAAAGCAGAUGUUUAGGAUAGCAUAGAAAUAAUUGAGAUCAGGGCAUUUAAGGUAAAACUGAAUUGGUGUCGGAUAUGGUAUAAUAAUGUACGGACAAAGAAGAUUUAAGAAUAUAUGAGUCUUUGAAAACUUUAAUUUGCUACCAAGAUGAUGUUAAAAGUUUCAAGAAAAGAAAUGAGAAGCAAUCACAAAAAAAUGGUUUCAAUAAUUUAGUAUAUUUUGUGAUUUGUAGAAAUUGGAGUUUGGAAUUACAAAGUUAGAAAUGUGAAAGCGAAGAACUUUAAUCAUUUUAUCAAAUUUAUUAGAUUAAUUAGAUUUUUAAGCAAGCCUGUUAAGAAUAUUUAUUUUUUUGUCAGUUCUUAGCCUAAUAAAGUGUCAAGGAAAAUUAAUUAUUUUUAGUGUAAUAUACAAUUUUAAUUUA